ACAUGCAAGUCGAACGGUAACAGGAAGCAGCUUGCUGCUUGCUGACGAGUGGCGGACGGGUGAGUAAUGUCUGGGAAACUGCCCGAUGGAGGGGGAUAACUACUGGAAACGGUAGCUAAUACCGCAUAAUGUCGCAAGACCAAAGAGGGGGACCUUCGGGCCUCUUGCCAUCGGAUGUGCCCAGAUGGGAUUAGCUUGUUGGUGAGGUAACGGCUCACCAAGGCGACGAUCCCUAGCUGGUCUGAGAGGAUGACCAGCCACACUGGAACUGAGACACGGUCCAGACUCCUACGGGAGGCAGCAGUGGGGAAUAUUGCACAAUGGGCGCAAGCCUGAUGCAGCCAAUGCCGCGUGUAUGAAGAAGGCCUUCGGGUUGUAAAGUACUUUCAGCGGGGAGGAAGGGGUUAAGGUUAAUAACCUUAGCCAUUGACGUUACCCGCAGAGGAAGCACCGGCUAACUCCGUGCCAGCCGCCGC
Molecule: ribosomal RNA, 476 nt
Filed under: uncultured bacterium
Lineage: Bacteria
Description: bacterial SSU rRNA
Rfam family: Bacterial small subunit ribosomal RNA
Source: RNAcentral